Molecule: ribosomal RNA, 465 nt
Filed under: Vreelandella stevensii
Lineage: Bacteria; Pseudomonadati; Pseudomonadota; Gammaproteobacteria; Oceanospirillales; Halomonadaceae
Description: partial 16S ribosomal RNA
Rfam family: Bacterial small subunit ribosomal RNA
Source: RNAcentral
CCUACGGGGGGCAGCAGUGGGGAAUAUUGGACAAUGGGGGCAACCCUGAUCCAGCCAUGCCGCGUGUGUGAAGAAGGCCCUCGGGUUGUAAAGCACUUUCAGUGAGGAAGAACGCCUGGUGGUUAAUACCCAUCAGGAAAGACAUCACUCACAGAAGAAGCACCGGCUAACUCCGUGCCAGCAGCCGCGGUAAUACGGAGGAUGCGAGCGUUAAUCGGAAUUACUGGGCGUAAAGCGCGCGUAGGUGGCUUGAUAAGCCGGUUGUGAAAGCCCCGGGCUCAACCUGGGAACGGCAUCCGGAACUGUCAAGCUAGAGUGCAGGAGAGGAAGGUAGAAUUCCCGGUGUAGCGGUGAAAUGCGUAGAGAUCGGGAGGAAUACCAGUGGCGAAGGCGGCCUUCUGGACUGACACUGACACUGAGGUGCGAAAUCGUGGGUAGCAAACAGGAUUAGAUACCCCGGUAGUC